AUUUAGGUAGCUUAAGAAUAAAGCAUGUCUCUGAAGAAGAUAAAAUGGGUUUCCCCUAAAUA
Molecule: transfer RNA, 62 nt
Filed under: Amynthas sp. 2 JS-2012
Lineage: Eukaryota; Metazoa; Annelida; Clitellata; Crassiclitellata; Megascolecidae
Description: tRNA-Phe
Source: RNAcentral